RNAcentral lists this microRNA precursor (75 nucleotides) under Colobus angolensis palliatus. RNAcentral describes it as "miRNA (ENSCANG00000013315.1)". The record is from RNAcentral. Lineage: Eukaryota; Metazoa; Chordata; Mammalia; Primates; Cercopithecidae.
GGGAGGUGGAGGCUGCAGUAAGUCGAGAUCAUGCCACUGCACUCCAGCCUGAGUGACAGAGCAAGACUCUGUCUC